AAAAAAAAUAACUAUGCAGUGUUGAAUGGAACGGUUUGAUGCUAGUGUUAAUCUUGACUAUGAAAAACGGAAAGUGUUCAAGAUAAAUCCCCAGUCCAGUAGCCGUCGAGUAACUAGCUUAUGCGAUACAUAAUCUACCGUUAGUCACACCACUAGAAAACACAAUUAUCAUACGUUCCAUAUGAAACUACGCCAUCUGGACCGUGAUUUUGAACAAUGGGUUUAAAAUAAUGUUUUCUGAUGAAGCUACUUUUCGCAGCAAUGGUGCAUUUAAUCGUCAUAACAUGCAUUUUUAUUCAACAGUUAAUCCAUUCUGGCUACGGGAAGUGCAAGAACAAACCAUUGUGGUCUGAAAUAUAAUACUUCAAAGUUAUU
Molecule: long non-coding RNA, 375 nt
Organism: Cylas formicarius (sweet potato weevil)
Lineage: Eukaryota; Metazoa; Arthropoda; Insecta; Coleoptera; Brentidae
Exons: 3
Source: RefSeq, a predicted model, not a curated record